ACGUCCCUGCCCUUUGUACACACCGCCCGUCGCUACUACCGAUUGAAUGGCUUAGUGAGACUCUCGGAUUGGUGAUCAAGAAUCGGCAACGGUCCCUUUUCGCUGAGAAGUUUGUCAAACUUGGUCAUUUAGAGGAAGUAAAAGUCGUAACAAGGUUUCCGUAGGUGAACCUGCGGAAGGAUCAUUAGAAUACCGGGAAAUUUAAUUUCCUUGACACUUAAUCAAAAAAUUCCAAUCUAAAUUUUUUUAUUUAAAAAACGAAAACUUUAAAAAACUAAGAUAACUUUCAACAACGGAUCUCUUGGCUCUUGCAUCGAUGAAGAACGCAGCGAAAUGCGAUAAGUAAUGUGAAUUGCAGAAUUCCGUGAAUCAUCAAAUCUUUGAACGCAAAUUGCACUUCUUGGUAUUCCGAGGAGUAUACUUGCUUGAGGGUUGGUCCACCAAAAAAUCGGGAAAUUAAAUUUUCGCGGAUCUGGGUUUUCCGAGUUUUUGGACUCUGGUAACCUUAAAUUCAUCCUAAUAAUCUUUAGGUAUAUUUAGAAAUGUUUUAUCUUACAUUGUAAGUUCAUCGAUAAUUAUACCGGUUAUUAAAUCGCGUUAUCCGCCUAUCAUCUUUCGAUUAGGUUCGAUGACUCAAUCACCCUUAUUCCUACCUCAAGUCAAGUAAGAAUACCCGCUGAACUUAAGCAUAUCAAUAAGCGGAGGAAAAGAAACUAACUAGGAUUCCCUUAGUAACGGCGAGUGAACUGGGAAGAGCACAAAUUUUAAAUCACCUCGGUGAAUUGUAAUUUGAAGAGCGUGUCUUGACGUUCCGAUCUGGUCCAAGUCCUCUGGGAUGAGGUAUCAUAGAGGGUGAGAAUCCCGUUCGACCGAACCAGGCGUUUUACGAUACGCUUUCAAAGAGUCAAGUUGUUUGGGAAUGCAGCUUAAAAUGGGAGGUAAAUUUCUCCUAAGGCUAAAUAUUGGCGAGAGACCGAUAGCGAACAAGUACCGUGAGGGAAAGAUGAAAAGCACUUUGAAAAGAGAGUUAAAUAGCACGUGAAAUUGUUGAAAGGGAAACGAUUGAAGCCAGUCGUACCGACGGGAAAUCAACCUUUCGACGCGAUCCUGUGGGCGCGUGGGAGUUUAAACCCCUGCGUUUUCAGGUUCUGCGUUCUUUUGGCGUACUUUCUCGUGUGGUAGGUUAACAUCAAUUUUGGCGGUCGUAAAAUGAUCGGAGGAAUGUGGCUUCGAUUUAUCGAAGUGUUAUAGACUCCGGUAAAUGCGAUUGUCGGGAUUGAGGAUUGCAACGAAUGCCUCUCGAGGCUAACCGCCUGAUCUCUAAUCGUCGCGUUGGUGCCGGAAGCAUGCUUACGGUUUUCGAGGUUGAUGGUUACAAGGUUAGAACGGGAUAAAUUCGUUAAGGAUGUUGACGUAAUGGCUUUAAACGACCCGUCUUGAAACACGG
RNAcentral lists this ribosomal RNA (1447 nucleotides) under uncultured Acaulosporaceae. RNAcentral describes it as "eukaryotic LSU rRNA". The stretch from base 650 to 1447 matches the Rfam family "Eukaryotic large subunit ribosomal RNA", at positions 1 to 664 of the family's 3401-position model. Lineage: Eukaryota; Fungi; Glomeromycota; Glomeromycetes; Diversisporales; Acaulosporaceae. The record is from RNAcentral.